RNAcentral lists this ribosomal RNA (395 nucleotides) under uncultured bacterium. RNAcentral's name for it is "partial 16S ribosomal RNA". It matches the Rfam family "Bacterial small subunit ribosomal RNA", at positions 523 to 918 of the family's 1533-position model. The record is from RNAcentral.
AUACGUAGGGUGCAAGCGUUAAUCGGAAUUACUGGGCGUAAAGCGUGCGCAGGCGGUUUUGUAAGACAGAGGUGAAAUCCCCGGGCUCAACCUGGGAACUGCCUUUGUGAAUGCAAGGCUAGAGUACGGCAGAGGGGGAUGGAAUUCCGCGUGUAGCAGUGAAAUGCGUAGAUAUGCGGAGGAACACCGAUGGCGAAGGCAAUCCCCUGGGACUGUACUGACGCUCAUGCACGAAAGCGUGGGGAGCAAACAGGAUUAGAUACCCUGGUAGUCCACGCCCUAAACGAUGUCAACUGGUUGUUGGGUCUUCAUUGACUCAGUAACGAAGCUAACGCGUGAAGUUGACCGCCUGGGGAGUACGGCCGCAAGGUUGAAGCUCAAAUGAAUUGACGGGG